This 27-nucleotide ribosomal RNA is filed under the name Schizopora radula. RNAcentral describes it as "partial 18S ribosomal RNA". The record is from RNAcentral. Lineage: Eukaryota; Fungi; Basidiomycota; Agaricomycetes; Hymenochaetales; Schizoporaceae.
CAGGUUUCCGUAGGUGAACCUGCGGAA